Long non-coding RNA from Felis catus (domestic cat), 1636 nucleotides. RefSeq lists it as uncharacterized. Lineage: Eukaryota; Metazoa; Chordata; Mammalia; Carnivora; Felidae. The transcript is spliced from 2 exons. The record is from RefSeq and is a predicted model, not a curated record.
CAGCUCUCACAGUUGAAUUCGUCAAAGGUAGAGAGGGGGCAGGUGGAACAGCUCCAGGGCUGGUGGGGAACCAGCAUACGCCCGAUCCAGCAGAUCCAGGACAGGGAUCUGGAUGGUACUGGUUCAGACUGUCAUUCUUCAGGUCCCCGGGACUCUAGCUGCCUGCCCCGCAGGAGACAGUGGCCCCCCCUCAGUGGGAUACGCGCUGGACGGGGUACAGUGCCUCCUUUCAAAUAGCGUCUCCCCUGGUCUGCCAUGGUUCCUGAAAUUCCCACCACACAUGAUACUCUUCUGGAUGAUAGCCUUCAUCUCUGAAAAGCCUUAGUUAUUAUCUCAAUUUUGAAUAUGAGGAAAUGAAGGCUCUGGGUUCAAGUAAGUGCCUUGCUCAAGCUCAAGAUCAACCACUGGCAAGACUAGAGCAUGAACCCCUUCCAUUUGAACCUGAAGUCUAUGCUCUUGCUUUACCACUACACUGUGGCAAGAAGAGCUGUUUGAUCUUGCACAGUCCUGGUGCGGUGCGUGAUCAUUUGAUCUAAUGAUUUAGGCCCCUGAGCAUUAGAAGGGAAAAGAAAUUUCAAAGGUUUUCUUCUUUACGUUUCCUUUUGCUGGCUACUGCAGCAUUGUCUUAAUCUCAGUCACCAACUAUUUACUGACCGCUGACACAAGGUGCUAAACACUUUGUGAGGCACCAUGAGGACACAGGAUCAUUUCAAGACACGGGUCUUGUCCUUAAGGAGCCUUCGUUUGAAGAAAUAAGAGUAAUUCAUAAAACAGCAAGGGAUCCCACAAACCAGAACAGAGGAAGUGCUACCCAGUGAAAGUACAUUUGGCUUCUAAGUGCUCCAAGAGAGCGCAAAGGAUGACUGUGGGCUCAGUUAGAUGAUUGCUGGGGGAAGGUGCACCUAACACCUUGAUGACAGGGUAUCAGGAAGCAGUGAAGAGAAAAUGGGAAAGUGGAGACACAGAAAAGAGGUUUGUUGUUACUUUUAUUUUUUAAAAUGAGCAUGAGACCAGUGAUUCAAUCUUAGAGGAACGUUAGGGGAUUCGAUCAAGAGAGGAGGUAGGAGAGGUAGGUGAUGUGUCUAAGCCAAGGGAGACACCAGUUUCAAGGAGGUCAUCGACCCUGUUGAAUGAAGUUACCAGACAGACCUCUGAUGGAGAAAUGGCCAUUAGAUUGUGCAAGAAGAAAUGAUGAACAUCUGAGCCACCUUGCUGCAGGGUGGAGAGAGAAGCUAGACCCAAAGACAGUUACAGAGUCCCAGACCCUCUGCCCAGAUGGAUGCUGAGUGGGGAAAUCAGGAGUCUGUCAUCCAGGCCAUUUAGGGCUGCUGCCAUAUCACAGGUGAAGUAACGAGCGACUUGCCUGGAAGGUGGGGGACACCGCGCUGCUCUUAGUAAAGGCCGAAGCAAUAUACAGAUUCAAUGUAGGCUCGUGCUCUAAUCUCAACAUCCCACACAUCCUCCUUCAGACUCCAUAUCCUGUUCUUAAAUUCUAGAUUGUAUCUGUCCACAGAGGCUCACAAGUACAACCUCUUGGUUUUUCUAAAGCUUAUCACAACCCCGUGUCAUGAAUGAAAGAAAGAAUGGGGGAAGACUUUAAGUAUAAUAAAAUCUUAACUAAUUUGAAUGUUUGGAA